GAUGAAAAUCUAUAUAUACUACUACAGAUUUUCAAUAUGACAGCAAUUCUGAAACAACUUCUUUGCGCUUUAAUUAAUUAAUAAUCGUGUCGAUCGAUGGUAGAACCUUGUCGUCGAAGGAUAUAGCUUCGUGCACAAAAGAAGGUUGCACGCGAGGUCGGACGCACGAGAAGCGCCGGGAGAUUGUAGUCACCUUGAGAUUCAAGUCCACGUCCACGCCUGGUUGUAAAGCCGGAGAGGGUAUCGGAUCACAAAUUCAUACUUUUGCGACUGCACACACUGGUGAAUUUCGCAUCGUCGAACACGUGGGUUAUACAGAAGGCUCUCUUAAUGAAAGGAUUGGGUAGAGUGAAAAUCGCUUUGAAAUUAGUUACACCCUCAGUAGCGGUUACUAUACUGACAUUGAGACUACCGAUCUCUUCCCAAAUGUCUGACAAGCUGGUAUGUAUGUUGUUAAUUAUUAACAUGCCAACUCUGGUCUAUCACCUCAAUACCUUGUCACGGGAGUGCAUUUUAUCGUUCAUGAGGGUAAAGGAGAUUAGUUUAAUAAAUAUACUUUAGAU
Molecule: long non-coding RNA, 563 nt
Organism: Monomorium pharaonis (pharaoh ant)
Lineage: Eukaryota; Metazoa; Arthropoda; Insecta; Hymenoptera; Formicidae
Exons: 2
Source: RefSeq, a predicted model, not a curated record